Lolium perenne is the source of this 1024-nucleotide long non-coding RNA. RefSeq lists it as uncharacterized. Lineage: Eukaryota; Viridiplantae; Streptophyta; Magnoliopsida; Poales; Poaceae. The record is from RefSeq and is a predicted model, not a curated record.
GCCACGCACCGCCUAUCUCUUUUCAUCUCCCGAAGCUGGGCACCGACGAGCUCCGACGGUCCGGAUCAAGAUCUCUCCCCAGUCAGCUCAUCGCGGCGGCGCAGGUACGAGAUGCCGUUUCUCUUCCGCGCUUCCGCGCUAGGGCUCUGUACAGCCUCGCCGUCGAUGGUAACAACCGAGUGGCAAAGACGUGCUUGCCGCGCGCACGUAACACGGCCAGCCGAUCUGCUGCGAAUUGGCGAACGAUUUGGCAUCUCCAAUCGAUCUCACUCUCAUGCGUCACGCAUAAACUGAGCCUAAGUGGUGUUCUCGUCAAGAAAUUAAUUCGGGCAAUGGUGUUGAGAAAAGGAGGAAAGCCGUUGAUAUGACAAAAGAAGCAGGAAAGCAAUGCUAUUGUCUUCAUGCCUGGUGGGGUUGUUGGAGUGAAAACUAAGAUCGAGGGGACAGAUGGUUCAUAUGUAAGCAUCACCGGUCUGGAUUGAUUCCUCUAUCUGAAUUUGUUGACACCAGUUGUCACCCGAGACUGAACUCAGCUGCAUAUUUAGGUGAUGAUUAAACUAUGUUGAAGGUUUACUGCGACUCGCAAGAUGUAGCAUGUCAGCGGCGAGGAGGACCAAGCGAGAAGUGGACCGUCAGUCUUCAAGUUGAAUGUAGUCCUUGGCAUCGAGAAGAUGACACUCAAGCCUUGUUUGCACAAUAGAAAGGGGAGGUUCAGGACGUGCAGCAUGGCGGCAGAGCAAGCCGUGCAUGGGGAAUCAGGAGAAGAACAAAACAAGUCAUGGGAACGCUCCUUCACCUCCAGAUCUUUGUCCUUGUACAGAACUUCUAGCUGUGAUAGAUAAAAGGGUGAUUCUUCUCUGGUGUUUGGUUACAAAGAUGGAAGCUAUCUACCAAGUCCAAGAAGUAUGGUUGGGUGUAUCGAUGCAGUUCUCAUAAUAGUAGAAGAUUUGGAGGUCUAUGAUAUGUACAUUGAUCUGAAAGCAGGUAGCAAAGCUGAACAACUGGGCACAAAGGUUGUGGAGCA